Molecule: ribosomal RNA, 410 nt
Filed under: uncultured bacterium
Lineage: Bacteria
Description: bacterial SSU rRNA
Rfam family: Bacterial small subunit ribosomal RNA
Source: RNAcentral
AAUGGGGGCAACCCUGAUCCAGCCAUUCCGCGUGAGUGAAGAAGGCCUUCGGGUUGUAAAGCUCUUUCGGCCGGGAAGAAAUCGCAUCUCCUAAUACGGGGUGUGGAUGACGGUACCGGAAGAAGAAGCACCGGCUAACUCCGUGCCAGCAGCCGCGGUAAUACGGAGGGUGCAAGCGUUAAUCGGAAUCACUGGGCGUAAAGCGCACGUAGGCGGCACGUUAAGUCAGCUGUGAAAGCCCUGGGCUCAACCUGGGAAUGGCAGUUGAUACUGACGCGCUCGAGUCUGAGAGAGGGGGGUGGAAUUCCAGGUGUAGCGGUGAAAUGCGUAGAUAUCUGGAGGAACACCGGUGGCGAAGGCGGCCCCCUGGCUCAUGACUGACGCUGAGGUGCGAAAGCGUGGGGAGCAAA